GAUGAACGCUGGCGGCGUGCCUAAUACAUGCAAGUCGAGCGAACAGACGAGGAGCUUGCUCCUCUGACGUUAGCGGCGGACGGGUGAGUAACACGUGGAUAACCUACCUAUAAGACUGGGAUAACUUCGGGAAACCGGAGCUAAUACCGGAUAAUAUAUUGAACCGCAUGGUUCAAUAGUGAAAGACGGUUUUGCUGUCACUUAUAGAUGGAUCCGCGCCGCAUUAGCUAGUUGGUAAGGUAACGGCUUACCAAGGCAGCGAUGCGUAGCCGACCUGAGAGGGUGAUCGGCCACACUGGAACUGAGACACGGUCCAGACUCCUACGGGAGGCAGCAGUAGGGAAUCUUACGCAAUGGGCGAAAGCCUGACGGAGCAACGCCGCGUGAGUGAUGAAGGUCUUCGGAUCGUAAAACUCUGUUAUUAGGGAAGAACAAAUGUGUAAGUAACUAUGCACGUCUUGACGGUACCUAAUCAGAAAGCCACGGCUAACUACGUG
Molecule: ribosomal RNA, 497 nt
Filed under: uncultured bacterium
Lineage: Bacteria
Description: partial 16S ribosomal RNA
Rfam family: Bacterial small subunit ribosomal RNA
Source: RNAcentral